GAAUACUCUGAGAUCGCCACAAUAGCACUGUUGCUAUUUCCGACAUCCUACCUGUGUGGGGUGUGGUGUUUCUGGAGCAACGGCGACUAAAACAAAAUUACGAAGUGGACUGGACAUAAACCACACACUUGAGAUGUCGUUGUCUUCUAUUAUCCCGAGAUGGGACCGUCUAGUUGCAGAUAAUCAAGCUCGGGGCUGUGUGAUGAAGAACUGGUGCUGCAAAACACGCCGCGUAUACGGCAGGAGGAGGACACCCACCUGACAUUUGGAAUUUUCUUUUCACUGCACCUGUCCGAGGUUUGACCACCCGGAGAGGAACCCGGAAACAAAUGCCGGUGCGACGCCGGUCCUCGGGCUAACACGUAGAGGAUAUUCAGCAGAUCGCAAAGGUGUGUCCCUCCUGCUCAACAACCUGGAGUGAAGAAGUCAUGUAUGCCUUGUGAUGUUGGUGUCCUAUAAUAACUACGCAAGAGUUUGUACCUGUGCCUGUGCUGAUAAGAAUCAAUGAGUUUCUGUUCAUGUUGUCAUCAAGCAAUUUGCUAAACUUGAUCGUUUUUUUUCUGCUGACAGCUAAAUAAAACCGCUUUUUAAGACCAGACAUAAUAACUACAACAACGACACAAUAUAUUGUACCUGUAUAUUGUACCUGUGCCUGUGCUGAUGGCUAUCAAUGUAUUUCUGUUCAUAUUUUCAUUAAGCAAUUCGAUAAACUUGACUGUUUGUCUGUUGACAGCGAAAUAAAACCACUUUUUUUUUUAA
This is a long non-coding RNA of Hippocampus zosterae (dwarf seahorse), 759 nucleotides long. RefSeq lists it as uncharacterized. Lineage: Eukaryota; Metazoa; Chordata; Actinopteri; Syngnathiformes; Syngnathidae. The record is from RefSeq and is a predicted model, not a curated record. The transcript is spliced from 4 exons.